GUGCGAGACCGAUAGCGAACAAGUACCGUGAGGAAAAGAUGAAAAGAACUUUGAAAAGAGAGUUAAAGAGUACCUGAAACUGCUGAAAGGGAAGCGAAUCGUAUCCAGUGUCUAUAAUCUGCGGCAUAUUUCAUUGGCGGCGGUGCGCGUGCUUUUGCGUCGGAAGCGGCUUUUGUUGCUCUGUGCUUUUGCUGUGCGUGCUGUUGCUGGUGCCCUGUGUUGCGGUGGGACGUCAGAGUCAGUUCGUAUGCUGCGGGAAAUGGCCGCCGAGGAGGUAGGUCGAGAUUUCGGUCUUGGCUGUUAUAUCUUGGUGGUUUGUUGUCGUGGUUGAGACUGAGGUGCCUACAAUGUGCUUUUGAGUGUACCGGGUUCUCAUUUGGUGGACUGUUUGGAUAGCUUGCUAUGCUUGUGGUUUUUUCAUCGGGUGAUUGAGUCUGGUGGUAACUUGUUGCUGUUCGGGACUUUGA
Molecule: ribosomal RNA, 467 nt
Filed under: uncultured Oomycota
Lineage: Eukaryota; Oomycota
Description: LSU rRNA
Rfam family: Eukaryotic large subunit ribosomal RNA
Source: RNAcentral